AGGACGAACGCUGGCGGCGUGCUUAACACAUGCAAGUCGAACGGAAAGGCCCGCUUGCGGGUACUCGAGUGGCGAACGGGUGAGUAACACGUGGGCAACCUGCCCUCAGCUUCGGGAUAACACUUGGAAACAGGUGCUAAUACCGGAUAAUAACCUUUCAUCGCAUGGUGGUUGGUUCAAAGUUUUUCGGCUGAGGAUGGGCCCGCGGCCUAUCAGCUUGUUGGUGGGGUAAUGGCCUACCAAGGCGACGACGGGUAGCCGGCCUGAGAGGGCGACCGGCCACACUGGGACUGAGACACGGCCCAGACUCCUACGGGAGGCAGCAGUGGGGAAUAUUGCGCAAUGGGCGGAAGCCUGACGCAGCGACGCCGCGUGAGGGAUGACGGCCUUCGGGUUGUAAACCUCUUUCAGCUCUGACGAAGCGUAAGUGACGGUAGGAGCAGAAGAAGCACCGGCCAACUACGUGCCAGCAGCCGC
Molecule: ribosomal RNA, 477 nt
Filed under: uncultured bacterium
Lineage: Bacteria
Description: SSU rRNA
Rfam family: Bacterial small subunit ribosomal RNA
Source: RNAcentral